RNAcentral lists this ribosomal RNA (825 nucleotides) under Septoria violae-palustris. RNAcentral describes it as "eukaryotic LSU rRNA". It matches the Rfam family "Eukaryotic large subunit ribosomal RNA", at positions 71 to 925 of the family's 3401-position model. Lineage: Eukaryota; Fungi; Ascomycota; Dothideomycetes; Mycosphaerellales; Mycosphaerellaceae. The record is from RNAcentral.
GGGAUUGCCCUAGUAACGGCGAGUGAAGCGGCAACAGCUCAAAUUUGUAAUCUGGCGCAAGCCCGAGUUGUAAUUUGUAGAGGAUGCUUCUGGGUAGCGACCGAUCUAAGUUCCUUGGAACAGGACGUCAUAGAGGGUGAGAAUCCCGUAUGUGACCGGCCCGCACCCUUUACGUAGCUCCUUCGACGAGUCGAGUUGUUUGGGAAUGCAGCUCUAAAUGGGAGGUAAAUUUCUUCUAAAGCUAAAUACCGGCCAGAGACCGAUAGCGCACAAGUAGAGUGAUCGAAAGAUGAAAAGUACUUUGGAAAGAGAGUUAAAAAGCACGUGAAAUUGUUGAAAGGGAAGCGCCUGCAACCAGACUUCGCGGCAGUGUUCCGCCGGUCUUCUGACCGGUUCAUUCUCUGUCGCGAGGCCAUCAUCGUCUGGGCCCGCCGGAUAAGACCUUAGGAAUGUAGCUCACCUUCGGGGGAGUGUUAUAGCCUAGGGUGAUGCGGCGAGGCUCGGGCGAGGUCCGCGCUUCGGCAAGGAUGAUGGCGUAAUGGUUGUCGGCGGCCCGUCUUGAAACACGGACCAAGGAGUCUAACAUCUAUGCGAGUGUUCGGGUGUCAAACCCCUACGCGUAAUGAAAGUGAACGGAGGUGGGAACCGCAAGGUGCACCAUCGACCGAUCCUGAUGUCCUCGGAUGGAUUUGAGUAAGAGCAUAGCUGUUGGGACCCGAAAGAUGGUGAACUAUGCCUGAAUAGGGUGAAGCCAGAGGAAACUCUGGUGGAGGCUCGCAGCGGUUCUGACGUGCAAAUCGAUCGUCAAAUUUGGGUAUAGGGGCG